GCGGUAAUACGUAUAAGACUAGUGUUAUUCAUAUUUAAUAGGUUUAAAGGGUAAAUAGGCGGUAAAUAAAGCCUUAAAUAAGAGGAACUAAUUUGCUAGAGUUAUAAAUGAGGAGGUUAAAAAGUACUGGUGGUGUAGAGAUGAAAUUCAUUAAUACCUUUUUUCGAAAGAAUUAGACACGGCACAGAUUAAGGCGUAAGCAUCUUUUUAUAUAGUAACUGACGUUGAGGAACGAAGGCUUCAUAAAACAAAAAGGAUUAGGUACCCUCGUAGUUGAUAGCAG
This 283-nucleotide ribosomal RNA is filed under the name Fellhanera sp. XZ-2020a. Its description in RNAcentral is "partial small subunit ribosomal RNA". It matches the Rfam family "Bacterial small subunit ribosomal RNA", at positions 517 to 802 of the family's 1533-position model. Lineage: Eukaryota; Fungi; Ascomycota; Lecanoromycetes; Lecanorales; Pilocarpaceae. The record is from RNAcentral.